UACGUAGGGGGCAAGCGUUGUCCGGAUUUAUUGGGCGUAGAGAGCGUGUAGGCGGCUUUACAGGUCCGUUGUGAAAACUCGAGGCUCAACCUCGAGACGCCGGUGGAAACCGUAAGGCUAGAGUCCGGAAGAGGAGAGUGGAAUUCCUGGUGUAGCGGUGAAAUGCGCAGAUAUCAGGAAGAACACCCGUGGCGAAGGCGGCUCUCUGGGACGGUACUGACGCUGAGACGCGAAAGCGUGGGGAGCGAACAGG
Molecule: ribosomal RNA, 253 nt
Filed under: uncultured bacterium
Lineage: Bacteria
Description: partial 16S ribosomal RNA
Rfam family: Bacterial small subunit ribosomal RNA
Source: RNAcentral